This 307-nucleotide unclassified non-coding RNA is filed under the name Hevea brasiliensis (rubber tree). The record is from RNAcentral. Lineage: Eukaryota; Viridiplantae; Streptophyta; Magnoliopsida; Malpighiales; Euphorbiaceae.
GUGGAACUAUCGAGGAAGCGGAAACCGGCAAGUUGUAAAAUGGAUGAAGAAACCCGAAAAUCUCCGAGGUUCAAUUCCGAUUCCUCAAAUGGAGUUCAACUAGCACUGCCGGAGAUGAGCGCGUGCGGUGCACUCUCCGCCGGCGGAAGAACCGGCACGAAGAGGGAACUGCUGGCUCUGAUGACGACGACGCCGGCGAACAGCAGCGCGUCGAGGAAACGCGCUGCCAGGGGGAGUGAUUCAGUAAAUGUAGGGAACAAUUCACGAGGAUCCCGGAGGAAAGAUCCAGUUUUUGCUGAAUCGCCGG